RNAcentral lists this long non-coding RNA (2078 nucleotides) under Homo sapiens (human). RNAcentral describes it as "HSALNT0284586". Lineage: Eukaryota; Metazoa; Chordata; Mammalia; Primates; Hominidae. The record is from RNAcentral.
CUAAGAUUUUGCAGUUAAUUUGCUGACUUCCAUAAACAUGAAAAGAAAGAGAUUUAUUUACAAAUAUUUGGUAAGAUCCUAUGGUUCCAAUGGUAUGUAUCUUUGGUCCCAUGCAUGAAAUACCUCUAUGUACUAUAUAUUACAUACCUCGCAAUGGCAAUGAAAUGUUCUAUAUCAUCUCUCUUUCGGUGGAAGAGAAGAUUACAAUGUUCUAAUUGGACAUAUUUAAAGUUAUAUAAAUCACUUUCUGAUGACACUUCACUCACAUCUUCCAUAGGCUUUCACGCCCCAUGGAUUCACAUAUGAUAUGUCUCCAUCAUGAUUCCUCCCAGCUCUCAGAAGGCUCACAACUGCCUUCCAUCUAGUUGAUAAGAGCAUCUUUCAUAAGACACUCUCUGAGAAACUCAGACAGUGAGCUCCAUCUUGACAGACACCCAACUCUAUUAUUCUUACUCUUUCUUUCCUGCAUCUUUUCAUUUUCAUAAUUAAAACUACACACUUGCAAUGGAAGGAUCUGUUUUUGAAACAUAUUUAUAAGUACAAAGGCACAUAUAGUCCAAGUAUAAAGUAACAUUACAAUAAAUAAUAAUAAUAUUUGUAACACAUGGGCCAUGAGUCAAGAAGGUAACAGUAGUUUACUAUUUGACUGAUACGUAAAUAGAGCUAUGGUACUAAAACAUAAAAAAUAAAUCCAAUUUUUAAAAAUUUAUUUUUCAUGCUCAAAUCACUCAGCUGAGCAUAUGCAUAAAAACUUAUUUGGAUAUUUAUCUUACGGUCUCAAUGACAUUUGAAAAGGUAAUUAACUAAAUAUUAGCAAAUGAAAAUACAUACAGACUAUGAAACCAUCCCUAUAAAAAUUUAAAAAUUAAUCAGGGAAGAAAGGAGAGAAAGAAAUGAAAAUAGGCCAAGGCCGGGCGUGGUGGCUCAUGCCUGUAAUCCCAGCUACUUGGGAGGCUGAGGCAGGAGAAUCACUUGAACCCAGGAGGCAGAGGUUGUAGUGAGCUGAGAUUGCAUCACUGCACUCCAGCCUUGAUAACAGAGCAAGACUCCAUCUCAAAAAAAAGAAAAGAAAAGAAAAGAAAAGAAAAUAGGCCAGGCACAGUAGCUCACGCCUAUAAUCCCAGUACUUUGGGAGGCCAAGGCAGAUCGCUUAAUCUCAGGAGUUCAAGACCAGCCUGGGCAACAUGGCGAAACCACACACCUACAAAAAAUACAAAAAUUAGCUGGGCAUGGUGGUGUGUGCCUAUAUUCCCAGUUACUGGGGAGGCUGACGUGGGAGGAUCGUUUGAGCCCGGGAGGCAGAGACUGUAGCGAGACAAGACUGCGCCACUGCACUCCAGUCUUGGCAACAGAGUGAGACCCUGUCUCAAAAAAAAAAAAAAAAAAAAAAAAAAAAAGACAGAAAGCAGGGAAAAAGAUAAACCAAGCUUGUGGUACAUUCAGUGAUUCAGUGUUAAUCAUUAAGUCAGCUUGCUCUCUGACCGGCUUGACCUGCUUCCUCAUAGUUGUUCGGUACUUAUUGCUUCAAAAUCACACAGACCCUGUUACAAGAUUAUAGUUCCCCUUAACUGCUGUGUAGAUAACAACUUGAACAUUAUAAAACAUUAAGUUUUCCAUUGGAGCUAUUCUUUCAGUGCUGUGUACCAAUGAAACUACUGAUGUCAGCUGGUCUGAAGGAUCCCACAAGAAGCUGACUCACCAAAGAAUGCAGUUUCCACAUCCUGAUGAUUUCAUCCCCCUUGCCCUGGUCAAUCAAUGACUCCAAUUUUCCAGCCCCCUACUCUCCGAGAUCCACUUAAACAUCCCAGCCCAGAACUCCUUGAGGGGAUGGAUUUGAGGGUCUCCUCCCAUCUCUUUGCUUGGUGCCCUGCAAUCAUUAAUGUCUUUCUCUGCUGCAUCCCAGUUGUCUCAGGGUAUUGGUCUGUUACUGUGCAGCAGGCAUACAAACUUGUUGGUCCUAUAACAACUAGACACAAUCAAAAUAAGCCCUUCUUUCUUUGUCUGUUAUAGACACAUUUUUAGGAGAACAGUGAAAGGUUAAUAAACACUUGGAGGAGCGUAGGAAUUGCUGUAGUGUG